UACGGAGGGUGCAAGCGUUGCUCGGAAUUAUUGGGCGUAAAGCGUGUGUAGGCGGUUUCCUAAGUCUGGUGUGAAAUCCCGGGGCUUAACCCCGGAACUGCAUUGGAUACUGGGAGGCUAGAGGAUGGUAGAGGAUGAUGGAAUUCCAGGUGUAGGGGUGAAAUCCGUAGAUAUCUGGAGGAACAUCAGUGGCGAAGGCGGUCAUCUGGACCAUGCCUGACGCUGAGACACGAAAGCGUGGGGAGCAAAC
This 250-nucleotide ribosomal RNA is filed under the name uncultured bacterium. Its description in RNAcentral is "partial 16S ribosomal RNA". It matches the Rfam family "Bacterial small subunit ribosomal RNA", at positions 524 to 773 of the family's 1533-position model. The record is from RNAcentral.